AUGUCGAACGAUCAUCUUCAGUUUAUUGAAUUAAUACGCAUAUUCUAGUAGACUAGAAUCUUUUUCAAGACGUAAUUAUUGAAAUUAGGACAGUUGUCAUUUUCCUGGAACGAUUUUCCAACCAAAUCUUUCAAAACAAACCAUUAUAUUUUCGGAGCUCUGAACUUGAUAUGCCAAUAGGUGACGAAUGAGCAAAUAACAAAAAAAUUAUCACACGGAAAACUUUCUUUUCGCAUAUUUGGAGCAAGAAAGUGUUCCAAGGCAAUAGAAAAAUAGGUGAAAAAACCAAUUAUAUUCACUAUGGUGUUGCAGCGCGUUCGAUAUAAAUUAAUACCUAUUUGUAGUUUUGUGCGGCAUGGUAAUAAAUUUAUAAAUUGUAAUAAAAAGCAACAAUAAAUUAUCGUUU
Long non-coding RNA from Dendroctonus ponderosae (mountain pine beetle), 406 nucleotides. RefSeq lists it as uncharacterized. NCBI's taxonomy places the organism in Eukaryota, Metazoa, Arthropoda, Insecta, Coleoptera, Curculionidae. The record is from RefSeq and is a predicted model, not a curated record. The transcript has 2 exons.